UACGUAGGGUGCAAGCGUUAAUCGGAAUACUGGGCGUAAAGCGUGCGCAGGCGGUUUGGUAAGACAGAUGUGAAAUCCCCGGGCUCAACCUGGGAAUUGCAUUUGUGACUGCCCGACUAGAGUGUGUCAGAGGGGGGUAGAAUUCCACGUGUAGCAGUGAAAUGCGUAGAGAUGUGGAGGAAUACCGAUGGCGAAGGCAGCCCCCUGGGAUAACACUGACGCUCAUGCACGAA
RNAcentral lists this ribosomal RNA (233 nucleotides) under uncultured bacterium. RNAcentral describes it as "partial 16S ribosomal RNA". It matches the Rfam family "Bacterial small subunit ribosomal RNA", at positions 524 to 757 of the family's 1533-position model. The record is from RNAcentral.